GAAAAAGAUAACAUUAAAGAUGUUGGCUUUUAACUUUGAAGUAAAAUUAGAGGAAAGCUGUCCCAACACAAGAACAACCACAUUCUUCAGGAGUAGCAAAAUUACAUUCACAAUAGACACAAAAAUUUGUUUCAACCUCCACCUCUGCCCCCCAACAAAUAUAGGACCAGAACGAAACCAUUAACACCAAAUGCAGCGAGAGCCAAAUAUACCCUAGUAAUAUUGGCAAAAGAGGGGAAGCGGAGAGAAAUGAGAAGAGCAAACAAAAAGACAAUGCCUUGACACACAGCAGCCUGAUAUCAGAUCAGACAGAAAAACUGGCUUUCAGCAAGGUUCCCAUUAAUAUGUUACACACAAGGAUAAGUGUGAAGUCCUUGAACUUCAACAACCUGCUUAAGAAAGCUUCUCAAGAUAAGGAAGAAGUUUGAACAGGUAAUUUGCUGUCUAUUAUCGGUCCUUUUUUGUAGAGCUGAAAAUUUUCCCAGAAAUAUCAGACUUCAACUUCCAUGUAAAUAAGACAAUAUCUUGAAGUACAUGAUCUAUUUCUUCCUCUUUCUUUUCAUAUAUGUAAAACAAAUUAAAGGCACCUGGGAUUCCUAUGGCAAACAAACUCUGCAGAGAAAUUGUUCCAAGGAUACUUAGAAUCAAUAGAGAGAGAGCCACCUUAAGGAAGAACAUGCAAUCAGCACCUUUACAAAGAGAUUUUAAAC
This 710-nucleotide unclassified non-coding RNA is filed under the name Hevea brasiliensis (rubber tree). Lineage: Eukaryota; Viridiplantae; Streptophyta; Magnoliopsida; Malpighiales; Euphorbiaceae. The record is from RNAcentral.